UACGUAGGGUGCAAGCGUCGCCCGGAUUUAUUGGGCGUAAAGGGCGCGUAGGCGGCUCUGCACGUCCGUUGUGAAAUCGCCCGGCUCAACUGGGCGGGGUCAGCGGAUACGGCAGAGCUUGAGCAAGCUAGGGGGCAAUGGAAUUCCCGGUGUAGUGGUGGAAUGCGUAGAUAUCGGGAGGAACACCAGUGGCGAAGGCGGUUGCCUGGGGCUUUGCUGACGCUGAUGCGCGAAAGCGUGGGGAGCGAGUCCGG
RNAcentral lists this ribosomal RNA (254 nucleotides) under uncultured bacterium. RNAcentral's name for it is "partial 16S ribosomal RNA". It matches the Rfam family "Bacterial small subunit ribosomal RNA", at positions 524 to 777 of the family's 1533-position model. The record is from RNAcentral.